AUAUAGUUUAAAAGUGGGUCUUCAGAGCUCCAGGUCAAACAGCAGGCUCUUUAUUUCCAUUUCAGGAAUCCCCGUUGCCUCCUUUAAGAGACAAGAAGACCCACAAAUCCUGUCUCGCUGUUCCUAAGGUGAUGGAAAUCAAACUAACAGUGGUUUAAGCCUUGAUGAAACUGAGCUAUGAUGAAACAUGGCACGAGGUGGUUUGGGAAGGGCUGCACAGGGGAAGAUGGAGCACAGCAACAGUGGGCUGAAGAUCUUUGCGUGUCUAGUCUGCUGCUGCUGCUGCUAAGUCGCUUCAGUCGUGUCCGACUCUGUGUGACCUCAUAGACAGCAGCCCAUUAGGCUCCUCUGUCCCUGGGAUUCUCCAGGUAAGAAUACUGGAGUGGGUUGCCAUUUCCUUCUCCAAUGCAUGAAAGUAAAAAGUGAAAGUGAAGUCGCUCAGUCCUGUCCAACUCUUAGCGACCCCAUGGACUGCAGCCUACCAGGCUCCUCCGUCCAUGGAUUUUCCAGGCAAGAGUACUGGAGUGGGAUGCCAUUG
Molecule: long non-coding RNA, 538 nt
Filed under: Bos indicus x Bos taurus (hybrid cattle)
Lineage: Eukaryota; Metazoa; Chordata; Mammalia; Artiodactyla; Bovidae
Description: lncRNA (ENSBIXG00000020804.1)
Source: RNAcentral